This 253-nucleotide ribosomal RNA is filed under the name uncultured bacterium. Its description in RNAcentral is "partial 16S ribosomal RNA". It matches the Rfam family "Bacterial small subunit ribosomal RNA", at positions 524 to 776 of the family's 1533-position model. The record is from RNAcentral.
UACGGAGGGGGCUAGCGUUGUUCGGAAUUACUGGGCGUAAGGAGCGCGUAGGCGGUCUGCCAAGUCAGGUGUGAAAGCCCAGGGCUUAACCCUGGAACUGCAUUUGAAACUGGCAGACUAGGGAGUGGUAGAGGAUAGUGGAAUUCCCAGUGUAGAGGUGAAAUUCGUAGAUAUUGGGAGGAACACCGGAGGCGAAGGCGGCUAUCUGGACCAUUUCUGACGCUGAGGCGCGAAAGCGUGGGGAGCAAACAGG